AUGGCGGAGGGCGUUGUAGCGUUGCUGAUUGCCAAGCUUGGUUUUGCCAUAGCAAAAGAGGCAGCAACCUUCGCUACGUCAGUGCUAUGGAAGGAAGCAUCUGCCCUCAAAGGUCUCUUCGGUGAGAUCCGUGAGGCCAAGGAGGAGCUGGAGAGCAUGCAGGCCUAUCUACAGGGGGCGGAGCGGUUCAAGGACACCGACGAGACCACCGGCGUCUUCAUCAACAAGAUCAGGGGCUUUGCCUUCGAGAUCGAGGAUGUUGUCGAUGAGUUCACCUACAAGCUGGAAGACAGGCAUGGGGGAUUCACUGUGAAGAUGAAGAAAAGGGUCAACCACAUCAAGGCAUGGCGCCGUUUGACACUGAAGCUCCAGGAUAUCAAGGGCAGGCUUCAGGGUGCGGAUAGGAGAAAGGUCCGCUACGACAUGAGAGGGAUUGAGAGAGAGGGUAGGAACAAUGUUCAGUCAAAAUCUGCUGACCAUUCUCUGAAUCUUGCAAGGGAAGAGGAUCUUGUGGGCAUUAAGGAAAACAAGGACAAGCUGAUGCACUGGCUGGUGGGUGAUUUGGAGGAAUAG
RNAcentral lists this ribosomal RNA (573 nucleotides) under Triticum aestivum (bread wheat). RNAcentral describes it as "partial small subunit ribosomal RNA". The record is from RNAcentral. Lineage: Eukaryota; Viridiplantae; Streptophyta; Magnoliopsida; Poales; Poaceae.